UAGGGAAUCUUCGGCAAUGGACGAAAGUCUGACCGAGCAACGCCGCGUGAGUGGAGAAGGUUUUCGGAUCGUAAAACUCUGUUGUUAGAGAAGAACAAGGACGUUAGUAACUGAACGUCCCCUGACGGUAUCUAACCAGAAAGCCACGGCUAACUACGUGCCAGCAGCCGCGGUAAUACGUAGGUGGCAAGCGUUGUCCGGAUUUAUUGGGCGUAAAGCGAGCGCAGGCGGUUUCUUAAGUCUGAUGUGAAAGCCCCCGGCUCAACCGGGGAGGGUCAUUGGAAACUGGGAGACGUGGGUGCAGAAGAGGAGAGUGGAAUUCCAUGUGUAGCGGUGAAAUGCGUAGAUAUAUGGAGGAACACCAGUGGAGAAGGCGGCUCUCUGGUCUGUAACUGACGCUGAGGCUCGAAAGCGUGGGGAGCAAACAGG
Molecule: ribosomal RNA, 429 nt
Filed under: Gemmatimonadota bacterium
Lineage: Bacteria; Pseudomonadati; Gemmatimonadota
Description: Gemmatimonadetes bacterium partial 16S ribosomal RNA
Rfam family: Bacterial small subunit ribosomal RNA
Source: RNAcentral